AACGAACGCUGGCGGCAUGCCUAACACAUGCAAGUCGAACGAGACCUUCGGGUCUAGUGGCGCACGGGUGCGUAACGCGUGGGAACCUGCCCUUAGGUUCGGAAUAACUCCCCGAGAGGGGUGCUAAUACCGGAUAAUGUCUUCGGACCAAAGAUUUAUCGCCUUUGGAUGGGCCCGCGUUGGAUUAGCUAGUUGGUAGGGUAAAAGCCUACCAAGGCGACGAUCCAUAGCUGGUCUGAGAGGAUGAUCAGCCACACUGGGACUGAGACACGGCCCAGACUCCUACGGGAGGCAGCAGUGGGGAAUAUUAGACAAUGGGCGAAAGCCUGAUCCAGCAAUGCCGCGUGAGUGAUGAAGGCCUUAGGGUUGUAAAGCUCUUUUACCCGGGAUGAUAAUGACAGUACCGGGAGAAUAAGCUCCGGCUAACUCCGUG
RNAcentral lists this ribosomal RNA (433 nucleotides) under uncultured bacterium. RNAcentral's name for it is "partial 16S ribosomal RNA". It matches the Rfam family "Bacterial small subunit ribosomal RNA", at positions 29 to 507 of the family's 1533-position model. The record is from RNAcentral.